ACGCUGGCGGCGUGCCUAAUACAUGCAAGUCGAACGCACAGCGAAGGGUGCUUGCACCUUUCAAGUGAGUGGCGAACGGGUGAGUAACACGUGGACAACCUGCCUCAAGGCUGGGGAUAACAUUUGGAAACAGAUGCUAAUACCGAAUAAAACUUAGUGUCGCAUGACACAAAGUUAAAAGGCGCUUCGGCGUCACCUAGAGAUGGAUCCGCGGUGCAUUAGUUAGUUGGUGGGGUAAAGGCCUACCAAGACAAUGAUGCAUAGCCGAGUUGAGAGACUGAUCGGCCACAUUGGGACUGAGACACGGCCCAAACUCCUACGGGAGGCUGCAGUAGGGAAUCUUCCACAAUGGGCGAAAGCCUGAUGGAGCAACGCCGCGUGUGUGAUGAAGGCUUUCGGGUCGUAAAGCACUGUUGUAUGGGAAGAACAGCUAGAAUAGGAAAUGAUUUUAGUUUGACGGUACCAUACCAGAAAGGGACGGCUAAAUACGUGCCAGCAGCCGCGGUAAUACGUAUGUCCCGAGCGUUAUCCGGAUUUAUUGGGCGUAAAGCGAGCGCAGACGGUUUAUUAAGUCUGAUGUGAAAGCCCGGAGCUCAACUCCGGAAUGGCAUUGGAAACUGGUUAACUUGAGUGCAGUAGAGGUAAGUGGAACUCCAUGUGUAGCGGUGGAAUGCGUAGAUAUAUGGAAGAACACCAGUGGCGAAGGCGGCUUACUGGACUGCAACUGACGUUGAGGCUCGAAAGUGUGGGUAGCAAAC
This 758-nucleotide ribosomal RNA is filed under the name uncultured bacterium. Its description in RNAcentral is "bacterial SSU rRNA". It matches the Rfam family "Bacterial small subunit ribosomal RNA", at positions 33 to 773 of the family's 1533-position model. The record is from RNAcentral.